This 85-nucleotide transfer RNA is filed under the name Shewanella putrefaciens. RNAcentral's name for it is "tRNA-Tyr". The record is from RNAcentral. Lineage: Bacteria; Pseudomonadati; Pseudomonadota; Gammaproteobacteria; Alteromonadales; Shewanellaceae.
AUUGAGCAAAGCAAACUUAGCUUUGUUUUCAAGACUGAUUGGGCUAUCGAUACGCUUAUAGAAACUUUGACCAAAUUGUUUUACU